UACGAAGGGGGCUAGCGUUGUUCGGAUUUACUGGGCGUAAAGCGCACGUAGGCGGAUCUUUAAGUCAGGGGUGAAAUGCCGGAGCUCAACUUCGGAACUGCCUUUGAUACUGGAGAUCUUGAGUUCGGGAGAGGUGAGUGGAACUGCGAGUGUAGAGGUGAAAUUCGUAGAUAUUCGCAAGAACACCAGUGGCGAAGGCGGCUCACUGGCCCGGUACUGACGCUGAGGUGCGAAAGCGUGGGGAGCAAACAGG
RNAcentral lists this ribosomal RNA (253 nucleotides) under uncultured bacterium. Its description in RNAcentral is "partial 16S ribosomal RNA". It matches the Rfam family "Bacterial small subunit ribosomal RNA", at positions 524 to 776 of the family's 1533-position model. The record is from RNAcentral.